UGCACACACCCCCUACCUCCCUGCCUACAUUCCACCCAGCCUGACUGCUCUGGAAGGAAGAAUCCCUGCAAGGUGAGUGUUAUUAUAUCCAUUUGUGGACCAGGACUGCGGCUCAGAAGCUUUUCCCAGGACACUGAACUCUGACAGGUGAAUAGCUGCCAAGUGGUGGAGGUUGGCCUGCAGUGAGCAUCAGUCUGACUUCGAAGGACAGAAUGACACAUGGUACAAGCUUUCUGUCUUACUGCCACACGUCAGUGUCCUGGGAGAUGAACCAGAUGCAGCUCCCUGAUGAAUGUGGGAAUAAAAAUUUAAAUUUAUGACAUUACUUGAGAAUAUUCAAUUCUGCUGUAGAGGACAAAAAAAAUGGAAUAAUGAAAUCCAUCAUAAACCCUGGGCAUAGUUGGUAGUUAAAUACAUUUGAGGAGAUUAACGCCAAAUGAUUAAGAUGACAUGAUAAGAUAAGGUCAGCAAUCAGGGGCUGUUAAUCUACCUACAACCCCCAUCCACCUCCACCAUACACAUACACCAAUUGUCUUUUAACACUUACGUUCUUUGCAGAAUUGGGUUUGGUUAUGUGAUUACCAUUGACACGUUAUGACGCAAGUGCUCCUGGGGUGUAGACCAUUGUUUUUAUUAAACUUCUGAGCCAAAAUCAUAGAAUGGCGGUAUUGAGCAAGGAGGAGGGAGAAUCCAUGUAUUGUUGGUGCUUGUUAUCAGAUUAUCCCAAAAUGGAUACUAUUCUACUUCACCUGGGACCGAAGACAGCCCACAGACCCAUUACGGGUACAUUUUAGAUAAUAUUUCUGAUGUUAGAGAAUAAGCAUUUUCAGACCCCACCAGGUUCUCCAGCUUCUUGGCCUGAGCUUUCAGUUCCUCCUCCCUCCUUCUUCUUAUCCUCACCUCCCCACCCCAAGUUAACUCAGACUAGCCCAGAUAUGCCCUGAGCAAAGGAAGGGAUCCUGCCAAGCCCUAGAUGCUUUGCAGAAACCUCAGUGAUAGAAGCCAAAUACGGAUAUUCAGUAUA
RNAcentral lists this long non-coding RNA (1024 nucleotides) under Homo sapiens (human). RNAcentral describes it as "long non-coding RNA NONHSAT209860.1". Lineage: Eukaryota; Metazoa; Chordata; Mammalia; Primates; Hominidae. The record is from RNAcentral.